RNAcentral lists this ribosomal RNA (473 nucleotides) under Bacillus licheniformis. RNAcentral's name for it is "bacterial SSU rRNA". It matches the Rfam family "Bacterial small subunit ribosomal RNA", at positions 388 to 852 of the family's 1533-position model. The record is from RNAcentral. Lineage: Bacteria; Bacillati; Bacillota; Bacilli; Caryophanales; Bacillaceae.
GGAGCACGCCGCGUGAGUGAUGAAGGUUUUCGGAUCGUAAAACUCUGUUGUUAGGGAAGAACAAGUACCGUUCGAAUAGGGCGGUACCUUGACGGUACCUAACCAGAAAGCCACGGCUAACUACGUGCCAGCAGCCGCGGUAAUACGUAGGUGGCAAGCGUUGUCCGGAAUUAUUGGGCGUAAAGCGCGCGCAGGCGGUUUCUUAAGUCUGAUGUGAAAGCCCCCGGCUCAACCGGGGAGGGUCAUUGGAAACUGGGGAACUUGAGUGCAGAAGAGGAGAGUGGAAUUCCACGUGUAGCGGUGAAAUGCGUAGAGAUGUGGAGGAACACCAGUGGCGAAGGCGACUCUCUGGUCUGUAACUGACGCUGAGGCGCGAAAGCGUGGGGAGCGAACAGGAUUAGAUACCCUGGUAGUCCACGCCGUAAACGAUGAGUGCUAAGUGUUAGAGGGUUUCCGCCCUUUAUUGCUGCAGC